This 592-nucleotide ribosomal RNA is filed under the name uncultured bacterium. RNAcentral describes it as "bacterial SSU rRNA". It matches the Rfam family "Bacterial small subunit ribosomal RNA", at positions 36 to 644 of the family's 1533-position model. The record is from RNAcentral.
CUGGCGGCGUGCCUAACACAUGCAAGUCGAACGAGAAAGUGGAGCAAUCCAUGAGUAAAGUGGCGACCGGGUGAGUAACACGCGACCAAUCUGCCCUUGAGUGGGGGAUAACCUCGGGAAACCGGGGCUAAUACCGCAUAACAUCUUCAGGUCGGAAGAGCUGAAGAUCAAAGGAGCAAUUCGCUUAAGGAGGAGGUCGCGGCUGAUUAGCUAGUUGGCGGGGUAAUGGCCCACCAAGGCGAAGAUCGGUAGCCGGCCUGAGAGGGCGCACGGCCACACUGGAACUGAAACACGGUCCAGACUCCUACGGGAGGCAGCAGUGGGGAAUUUUGCGCAAUGGGGGAAACCCUGACGCAGCAACGCCGCGUGGAGGAUGAAGUCCCUUGGGACGUAAACUCCUUUCGACCGGGAAGAUAAUGACGGUACCGGUGGAAGAAGCCCCGGCUAACUUCGUGCCAGCAGCCGCGGUAAUACGAGGGGGGCGAGCGUNGUUCGGAAUUAUUGGGCGUAAAGGGCGCGUAGGCGGUGCGGUAAGUCACCUGUGAAACCUCCGGGCUUAACUCGGAGCCUGCAGGCGAAACUGCCGUGCUGG